This 461-nucleotide ribosomal RNA is filed under the name Peribacillus simplex. Its description in RNAcentral is "bacterial SSU rRNA". It matches the Rfam family "Bacterial small subunit ribosomal RNA", at positions 79 to 526 of the family's 1533-position model. The record is from RNAcentral. Lineage: Bacteria; Bacillati; Bacillota; Bacilli; Caryophanales; Bacillaceae.
UUGCUCCCUGAGAUUAGCGGCGGACGGGUGAGUAACACGUGGGCAACCUGCCUAUAAGACUGGGAUAACUUCGGGAAACCGGAGCUAAUACCGGAUACGUUCUUUUCUCGCAUGAGAGAAGAUGGAAAGACGGUUUACGCUGUCACUUAUAGAUGGGCCCGCGGCGCAUUAGCUAGUUGGUGAGGUAAUGGCUCACCAAGGCGACGAUGCGUAGCCGACCUGAGAGGGUGAUCGGCCACACUGGGACUGAGACACGGCCCAGACUCCUACGGGAGGCAGCAGUAGGGAAUCUUCCGCAAUGGACGAAAGUCUGACGGAGCAACGCCGCGUGAACGAAGAAGGCCUUCGGGUCGUAAAGUUCUGUUGUUAGGGAAGAACAAGUACCAGAGUAACUGCUGGUACCUUGACGGUACCUAACCAGAAAGCCACGGCUAACUACGUGCCAGCAGCCGCGGUAAUAC